AGAUUAGAUCUAACCCUUAGAUCUAAUCAAACCUGAUCUAAUGAGUUUAGAACUCAUUAUCGAAACAUGGAUUGUAGAUCUCCAUAAGUGUAUCGCAUAGAUAGGGGAUCCUUCAGGUUACUCACAGCCAUACAAAAGUGUCCGGCCUCUAUAAAUCAUCUACAUGAAGAACGGAUGCUGAUCAGGCUCUUCGGGAGUACUAGCUUGCAAGGAUCUUUGAAGGUUGAUCUUGUUUUUCUUCUUUUGAUCUCUUAGACACACUAGAGAGGAAGAAGAAUUAAUGAAGGGA
This 289-nucleotide long non-coding RNA is filed under the name Elaeis guineensis (African oil palm). Its description in RNAcentral is "long non-coding RNA (EGUI_LNC055093)". Lineage: Eukaryota; Viridiplantae; Streptophyta; Magnoliopsida; Arecales; Arecaceae. The record is from RNAcentral.